This 1810-nucleotide long non-coding RNA is filed under the name Theobroma cacao (cacao). RNAcentral describes it as "long non-coding RNA (TCAC_LNC005636)". Lineage: Eukaryota; Viridiplantae; Streptophyta; Magnoliopsida; Malvales; Malvaceae. The record is from RNAcentral.
AAACAAAGAAAAAGGAAGAACAAAAGGAGGAAAGGAAAAAAAAAAGAAACCUACAUGGGAAAAUUAAAGGAAAAUUGGUGGAUUUCAAGGAAUCAAGCAAUCAAAAGUAAAAUCUCUUGAUUUUGACUUGUGAUCUACCUUUCCCAUGCAUUUCUCCUUAUUUUCCAUGGUUAGAUUUCAUGUUUUCAUGGUGAAUUCAUGGCUGCCCAAAUGGGUAUGGAGAGAGAAUGAAGUUAGAUUAAUUUGAUUUUAAGUUAUGUUAGUGUUUUUAGUUAGUUUAGCAUAUUUAAAAACAAAGCAACAAGAAAAGAAUUCAUUUUCCUCCAUUACCAUUAUUGGCCAAAUUUUCUAGGGAAAUAUUGGCUGUUGAUCUUGAUGUUUAUUUGAGGAAUUAUGAUGAAUAAUGAUGAAUUAUGAGCCUAGAAAAAUAAUGGGAAUUUUCAGAGCAAAAAUAUGAAUUUUUACCCACAAAGGGUAUUUUCGUAAUUUGCUAUCGUGACUGAUAAUUUGCACCACACUGAGGAACAUUAAGUCAAUUUGGGUGCAAUUGAGGUAUAGAAACUGAAAACAAUUAAUUUGGAGUUUAAAUGGAGGCGUAUAUCGAUUUAUCGGGUAAAAGAUCGAAAUAGGCAAACAUCUCGUUUAGGCAAAAUUUAGACAUUUUGCACUUCAUAUCAUGCAUUAGUAGUAUAAAUUAGUUUAUUUUGAUUUAGUACCAAAGUAGUAAACCUCUUAAUUGUGCAAUUUGUCAAAGUGGCGAAUCCUCUAGCAAGGGCAAAAAAAUCGCACCCGAUGAAUAAUAGUUGGAGUACCCGAAUUUAGUUUUCAAAAACUGUGAGUAAACUUAUUAUCGUCUUAAUUAUCUAAAGUAGUUUUAUACAGUUAUGUGAUUUUAUGAAAAAUGGGUUUAAAUGGUAAAUCGCUAUGUUUUAAGAGAAAUUGUGAUUUUAUAAAAUGAUUUUAUAAAUUUUCUGGAAACUCAAAUGCUGGUUUUGAAAAUACAGUAAUUGGAGACUGCCUGCUUGUGUUGUAAAUUUAUGGUUUUAAAUUGAAUGGCUUAUGACAAUAAAUGAGCAUGAAUGGCUAAACUGAUUUUGGUGUUAGAAUUAUUUAUACUGUGUAUUUAGCCUUGAAAGGCUAGGUUGUGAUAAAUUGCUAUGUCAUGUAGAAAAGAUUUUAUAAAUCAGGUGGUAGAUAAAAGAUUAGCUACUGCAGUGGUGGGGGGUUCCAUGGGCCAGCCUAUUAGAGGGGCAUGGUAAACUCCUUUAUAUUCUCACCUCGGUCGUAGAGGCGCGUAGGGUAUCUCCUGAGGUGGGCUUUUUGAGUGCACUUCACGUGGACCACCGCGUGAGAGUGAGACUCAGCCAACGUCAAGAAACGGCUAUGUUUCAAAAUAUAAAUAUGAUUUAUGCGAAAUAUGAAUUUUUAACAGCCUUUGCAGACUCGGUUGGAUACCCCUAGUCCAGGUGUCCUCGAGUACAGGAUUUGGCAUGAGCCAAGUUUUGAGUAAUUCACGAGCCAUAUUGAUUAUUUGGUUGAAAUGAAUAUUCGUGAUGUGAAAAAUUUGCUGAAGUUAAUUAUUUUUAAUUGUCUCCAUUUAUUCGCCUUUAGAUAAUUUAAAUAGUGUCUGUUUACUCACUAGGAUUUUAUAAUCUCACCACCCUCAAUUCUCCAUAUUUCAGGUUCGGGAUAACUGGUAGAUAGCCAAUUGCAUCAAGGACUUCAGUUAGCCUUGCAUUGUCAAAAUUAUAGGUUCACAAACUCACAUCUUAUUGGUUAGUUGGGGGCCCACGUGUCAUUGUAAAAGUAA